AUGGGCCUCACUCUGUCCACACUCUUUUCACGAAUCUUCGGAAAGAAGCAGAUGCAGAUUCUCAUGGUUGGCUUGGAUGCAGCUGGCAAGGCCACAAUCCUGUACAAACUGAAGUUGGGGGGAGAUUGUCACCACCAUCCCAACCAUAGGCUUCAAUGUAGAAACAGUGGAAUAUAAGAACAUUUGUUUCACAGUCUGGGACGUGAGAGGCCAGGACAAGAUUUGGCCUCUGUGGUGGCACUACUUCCAGAACACUCAGGGCCUCAUCUUUGUGAUGGACAGUAAUGACCGGGAGCGGGUCCAAGAAUCUGCUGAUGAACUCCAGAAGAUGCUGCAGGAGGAUGAGCUGCGGGAUGCGGUGCGACUGGUGUUUGCCAAUAAGCAGGACAUGCCCAAUGCCAUGCCCACGAGUGAGCUGACUGACAAGCUGGGGCUACAGCACUUGUGCAGCCACACAUGGUAUGUCCAGGCCACCUGUGCCACCCAAGGCACAGGUCUGUACGAUGGUCUGGACUGGCUGUCCCACAAGUUGUCAAAGCGCUAACCAGCUAGGGGCAGGCCCCUGAUGCCUGGAAGCUCCUGUGUGCAUCCCCGGGAUGACC
Molecule: non-coding RNA, 602 nt
Organism: Saimiri boliviensis boliviensis (Bolivian squirrel monkey)
Lineage: Eukaryota; Metazoa; Chordata; Mammalia; Primates; Cebidae
Source: RefSeq, a predicted model, not a curated record